RNAcentral lists this ribosomal RNA (483 nucleotides) under uncultured bacterium. RNAcentral describes it as "bacterial SSU rRNA". It matches the Rfam family "Bacterial small subunit ribosomal RNA", at positions 30 to 507 of the family's 1533-position model. The record is from RNAcentral.
AUUGAACGCUGGCGGCAUGCCUUACACAUGCAAGUCGAACGGCAGCGGACCUUCGGGUGCCGGCGAGUGGCGAACGGGUGAGUAAUAUAUCGGAACGUACCUUUCAGUGGGGGAUAACGUAGCGAAAGUUACGCUAAUACCGCAUACGCACUGAGGUGGAAAGCAGGGGAUCGCAAGACCUUGCGCUAUACGAGCGGCCGAUGUCAGAUUAGCUAGUUGGUAGGGUAAAGGCCUACCAAGGCGACGAUCUGUAGCGGGUCUGAGAGGAUGAUCCGCCACACUGGGACUGAGACACGGCCCAGACUCCUACGGGAGGCAGCAGUGGGGAAUUUUUGGACAAUGGGCGAAAGCCUGAUCCAGCCAUGCCGCGUGAGUGAAGAAGGCCUUCGGGUUGUAAAGCUCUUUCGGCUGGGAAGAAAUCGCACAGGCUAAUACUCUGUGUGGAUGACGGUACCAGCACAAGAAGCACCGGCUAACUACGUG